Molecule: long non-coding RNA, 1433 nt
Filed under: Trifolium pratense (red clover)
Lineage: Eukaryota; Viridiplantae; Streptophyta; Magnoliopsida; Fabales; Fabaceae
Description: long non-coding RNA (TPRA_LNC001906)
Source: RNAcentral
UGUAAGUCAAUAUUCAUAAUAAGCAUGGAAAAAUAAAUGAGUGACAACAGGAAUCACUGAAGUUCAAAAUAUAGCCUCCAAGUCCUAGAAUUAUGCUCUCCAACGGCAUGCUUAUGUUCAAUUAGCUUAGUUAUCUUUAUAAACCUUCUCUCACUUACUCACUUAUAAUUCUGACAACAGACAACUAGUAGUUUUAUAAUUCAUCUUUAGAAAGAAAAUAUUUAACACAUGUCUACUACUUGUAAGAUACAAAUUAAAGCAGCAGGAUGGUCAGACACGGGAUUCUUCCCUAGCCAAGUCUUCAGCAAAUGCAUAAAGAUGAAUUAAUUUUUGCAGUAAGGCCGUGUGGUGCUAAGAAAUAUAUUGGCUCACACAAUCUCUAUAUCAUAUUACAAUAAGCAAUGUACAGGAAACAAUAAGAUGGUUGACAUAAACAAAUAGUAUGGCACACCCUUAUAAACAAUUUGUUUGAAAACUAGCUUAGUACCAGUGCACAUUGAAGUGAAUAAAGAAUUUUACUAUAUUAUUAUAUAGCAUGACCAUUCAUUAGGACUUCAAUUAUUAGGGAUAUUGCCCUGUUAUUUUAAAGCACUUGAAAGGUAGCAAAAAACACGCAACCAUCCUUAAAUUUGAGCCACUCGUGUCUCAGCUCAACUAGCACAUAGAUACAAUUAGAAACAAUUUUAUUGACAGGAAUCAUGCGGUUUUAAAUAUGGUUCUCAAUAUUGCUAAACAAAAAAAGUAGACUCUGUCAAAACAACUUCAGAUCUGAUUGUUUUGUGUUACAAAGGUGUGUCAACAGACCCAGACCAACAUGAGUAAGAUAUGAAUGCGUUUUAGUUUUUCAAUCUCACUUCCAGAAUCCAGAGUUCCGGAUACAGAUACUUUAAUGGCAAAUUUGAUUGACAGAGAAUUCAGGUAGACCUUGACUUUUAUAGCAAAUUACAACUAAAGGAAUUUUCUCAAUCUCAACAACGAAGCGUUGUUGACUAGUGGAUGACAACAUUUCAAGUAUGGCCAUGACCCCAUACGAAACAAGAAUGAUUUUGAAAAGGAAAACGUUCUUAUACAGAUGUUGAAAAGCAGAAACCUUCAUGCUGAAGUGAGCGCAUUACAUGAAAAUAUUUCUUGUCAUGAACCAACAAUUCCAGAAGCUUUUUAAGCUAUUAGGUGAAUACACAUUAAAUGGUUAUAUAAUAUAUCUCUAACAGGCCUCUUCAUGCAAAAGUGUGGACAAUGUACUGAAAUUAUUUUACAGAAAGAAUGGGAGCAGCAAGGAUCAAUCUCUAGAUCACAUGAUCAUAAAAGCUUAAGCUAUUAGGAGUGUGUGCAAUACAAGUGAUUUCUAUGAUCCACGAUCACUUUUUUAUUUAAUGGAGAUAAUGUGGUUGUUCUCUGUCGGGUAAGGAGGUAAAGGGUUUUUUCCGCCAAAU